Molecule: transfer RNA, 72 nt
Filed under: Sphaerodactylus townsendi
Lineage: Eukaryota; Metazoa; Chordata; Lepidosauria; Squamata; Sphaerodactylidae
Description: tRNA-Glu
Rfam family: tRNA
About the family: Transfer RNA (tRNA) molecules are approximately 80 nucleotides in length.
Source: RNAcentral
GGGGCUGCGGCUCAGUGGCAGAGCAUCUGCUUUUCAUGUAAAAGGUUCCAGUCUCAGUCCCUGGCAUCUCCA